Molecule: long non-coding RNA, 779 nt
Filed under: Monodelphis domestica (gray short-tailed opossum)
Lineage: Eukaryota; Metazoa; Chordata; Mammalia; Didelphimorphia; Didelphidae
Description: lncRNA (ENSMODG00000050094.1)
Source: RNAcentral
GGUUAAAGUUUUGCAUAUUGAAUUUUCCCUGGAUUUAUAGAAUUUUCAUUUUUUGGUUACCAAUUUGCUAAGUAGUAUUACUUUAACACCUAAGCAUAUGCCUAAUGCUCUGCUGUUCUAUGUUUUCCCCCUUAGGACAUUUUCAAGUUAAAACAAAGUUUCUCCACAUAUCCUUGCUAUUUGAUUAUUCUCUUCUUGCAUAGCAUCUCAGUAUAAUGGAAUCCCUGGAAAAAGAAAAAGGAGAUUCAUAUGAAUCAAAAGGAAUUGGGAAAGGAAAGAUGUCAUUGAAAUAAAUUUUACUUCCAGUAAAAAUUGUGUCAACACUUCUGAAGAUCUUUGGAAAGAGUCCAAUGAUUAAAAAAAAUAGAAAGAAGAGAAAUGGAGAUAUUGGACUUUGGUUAAGCCAUGAGGGAAAUUCUAAGACUGAUGCUUCCUGAUGAAUUCUGGGAUCAUGUUGUCUAGGAAUACAAAAUAUCUUUUCCUGUAAUGACUAUAAGGAAAGUAUUCCACCCUACCACCUCUAAUUAAGAUGAUGCCUUCUCCAGGACAAAGAGGGAAGGGAGGAACUAACAGGAUAUCUUAAUGCAUACAAAAGAACAACUACAUAAAUUUAAAUUAAAAAAGGAAAAAAAUUGAAGGGAAAAUAUGCUUGAGUUUAUCUUCAAGGAAGAGGUGGACUCUGUAGAUGCCUUGAAAGAUCAUCCUUCAUACCCCAAAGAGAUUAUAAGGAGAAAGACAUGUACAAGAAUAUUCAUAGCUGCGUUCUUUGUGGUGGCAAA